UCAUCCGCUUCUCCACAUCCUCGCAUUCUCACACAUUCUUUUUUUCUCUUCGUGCACUAUCAACUCACGUCUUUCGUGUUUCUUUCUUUCUGUCUCGCUCGCACAACAACCGGAGUGCAUGUGGUAUGCAGGACCAAUGAGGGGGAAACAACUAUAUUUUUUUUUAAAGGAGGUUGAAACCUUUGGCCUCUGCAUCAAAAUGAUGCACACAUCCAUUUAGGACAUGUGGAUCGGUCACUUAGGAUGGAAAGUACGUGCCAUGAUGCCACUCCCUAAAAUGAAACUCAUUUUAUAAAGGACAGAACACCCAUCUUUCUUACUCAUCCACUCCGCCUCUAUCACCACAUUCAACUAGAACGAAGCCCAACACAAGAAGUAAAAAGGUUCA
This 388-nucleotide long non-coding RNA is filed under the name Brachypodium distachyon (stiff brome). RNAcentral describes it as "long non-coding RNA (BDIS_LNC005994)". The record is from RNAcentral. Lineage: Eukaryota; Viridiplantae; Streptophyta; Magnoliopsida; Poales; Poaceae.